GGGGGCGACCUGGUUUCGACGUGGGUUGCAAAGCAGAGUGGGGCACGCCGAGGUUCUGGACCCUCGUUAAACAUCAGAAACGCAAUAAACGCCAACGACUCUACGUUUGACGUAAAACUGGCCGCCUAAUCGCGGCUAGCGCUGCACCGGUGGGUCUGAACGCCGGGCGGGGCAACCCGCAGCAGUGUCACCUAACCAGAAUCGGCUUCGCUCGGGUCACUUGAGCGCGGCUUAAAUCCAAGGUGACUGGUCUGCCACCGGCCCGCCUGUGGGCAAUGCGGCAGAUGAGAUCCAAAUACACAGGCUAAGCGUGUAGAACUGCCUGUAGAGUGCUUGCGGACGCGGGUUCGAUUCCCGCCGCCUCCACCA
RNAcentral lists this transfer-messenger RNA (369 nucleotides) under Burkholderiales. RNAcentral describes it as "AAP99 sp001295775 Standard tmRNA". It matches the Rfam family "transfer-messenger RNA". From Rfam's summary of the family: Bacterial tmRNA, also known as 10Sa RNA or SsrA, is named for its dual tRNA and mRNA-like properties. Its role is to liberate the mRNA from a stalled ribosome. The record is from RNAcentral. Lineage: Bacteria; Pseudomonadati; Pseudomonadota; Betaproteobacteria. RNAcentral also lists the same sequence under 1 other name.